UAUUAUUAUUAUUAUUUAGUAUUAUUAUUAUUAUUUUUAUUGUUAUUAUUAUUAAGAGAGUGAGAAAAGUCUUCAACAUCUUGUGAAACAGUUCAGAGGAAUAGGACUGAGUAUGAAUACAGGGGAAAGAAAGUAUUGAACAAAAAAUAUCUAUAACAAUAAGUUAUUUCUUAUCUUUUAAGAAUAGAUAUGUAAGAAGCUCUUCUUGUUCGUAUACAGUAUCAGAAAUGGUACUUACAAGAACUUGAGGAGGCAUUUCCUUCAAAAUGGAAUAAAACCUAGGGUUCAUGGGAACACUGGUCGCAUUCCUUGUCAUGCUGUUUCUGUGGAAGGCAUUAAAGAUGUGGUAGCAUUUUUGGAGAACUAUGCUGAAGACUACACCAUAUUACUACCUGGGAGGAUACCUAGAGUGAGGGAUUAUGGGAAGGCCAAGCUAUUGCCGUCCAGUGUGUCCCGACACAAGGUUUACCGGCAGUAUGCUGAUGCUGGUAGGGAACAUACUCUCUGUGAAAGUCCUACUUGUGCAAAUAGAGUAUCGAAGAGUAAAAGUAAAAGCGCAUUCUCUAUCUCAGGAUUUAAAUAAAGAAGUUGCCUUUUCUGUUAAUGUACAAUGAACAUCUCAUAAUCAAGAAACAGUUUGUUCUAUGGACAUUGCCGUAUUCUUUAAAAGAUUGUGUUAAUGGUUGCUGAGUAAGUAAUUUUCACAUGCCCAUGUCUCUGACUGUAAAAUGUAUUUUGUCAUUAUGUCUCAAAUAAACGCUUGAUUUUAGAUU
Molecule: long non-coding RNA, 773 nt
Filed under: Amphimedon queenslandica
Lineage: Eukaryota; Metazoa; Porifera; Demospongiae; Haplosclerida; Niphatidae
Description: uncharacterized LOC109591791, transcript variant X4
Source: RNAcentral